Molecule: ribosomal RNA, 405 nt
Filed under: uncultured bacterium
Lineage: Bacteria
Description: partial 16S ribosomal RNA
Rfam family: Bacterial small subunit ribosomal RNA
Source: RNAcentral
AUUGAACGCUGGCGGCAGGCUUAACACAUGCAAGUCGAACGAGUGGCGGACGGGUGAGUAAUGCUUGGGAAUCUAGCUUAUGGAGGGGGAUAACUACGGGGAACUGUAGCUAAUACCGCGUACCAUAGGAUGAGCCCAAGUGGGAUUAGGUAAUGGGUGAGGGAAAGGCUCACCAAGCCGACGAUCUCUAGCUGGUCUGAGAGGAUGACCAGCCAAACGGGGACUGAGACACGGCCCAUACUCCGCCGGGAGGCAGAAGUUGGGAAUAUGGCGCAAUGGGGGCAACCUGACGCAGCCACGCCGCGUGAAUGAAGAAGGCCUUCGGGUUGUAAAGUUCUUUCGGUAGCGAGGCGUUAACUACAGAAGAAGCACCGGCUAACUCCGUGCCAGCAGCCGCGGUAAUAC